GGGUCAGUAGGUUGGUCGUGCCACCGGUACGUACUGGUCUCACUGAUUCCUCCUUCCUGAAGAACCGUAAUGCCAUUAAUUUGGUGUUGCGGGGAAACAGGACCGUUACUUUGAAAAAAUUAGAGUGUUUAAAGCAAGCUAACGCUUGAAUACAUUAGCACGGAAUAAUGAAAUAGGACGAUCGAUCCUAUUUUGUUGGUUUCUAGGAUUGACGUA
RNAcentral lists this ribosomal RNA (216 nucleotides) under Glomeromycotina sp. RNAcentral's name for it is "partial small subunit ribosomal RNA". The stretch from base 44 to 216 matches the Rfam family "Eukaryotic small subunit ribosomal RNA", at positions 690 to 864 of the family's 1831-position model. The record is from RNAcentral. Lineage: Eukaryota; Fungi; Glomeromycota.